Heterocephalus glaber (naked mole-rat) is the source of this 660-nucleotide long non-coding RNA. NCBI's taxonomy places the organism in Eukaryota, Metazoa, Chordata, Mammalia, Rodentia, Bathyergidae. The record is from Ensembl.
GUCCUUAUCUGUAGGGACUUGUGCGUACAUGUGGCAGUGGUUCAGAGUUCUGUUCUGUGAGACCUUCUGUGUGCCCAGUUUAAGGGAGGUGGUGAAGGCUGCUGCUGGGCUGCUGUACUAAUGAAGAUGAAACACAUCACCACCAGCACAGAUCAGACUCCUAUUUAUGACUAACUUGGCAGCAAUUUCAAAGGAAGAAAGGAGCAGAGUCCAUUAUCAUCAAGGCAUCUCUGCAUUUGGCCCUUCUGCCCCUGAAAUGUGUCAUCUGCUGUAAAUGAAGAAAAAAUUUCAGAUGCCACUCUGGAACCCCAGCCUGGAAACUAAGGGGUUAGGGACUUGAAACUUCUCAACCCAAAGUGCCAAUGUUGGCUCCUGUCACCAGCUGAGAGCAGGGGAACGUCAGCCCACUGUCAUGUUUGCAAAGGCUCAAGUUUUCUUACCUAUAAAUUGAAGACAGUAAAUCAUCUAUCUUUCAAAUUUGGUAUAUGGACUAAAAGAGCAACACAUAUACAGUGCUCCAUGGGAUCGAAUUCAGGACUUUGCACUUGAAAAGGAGGGGUGGCACCACUGAGCUAAAUCCCUGGCCCAGGUCCUAUUGAAUAUUAACCUCAAGAAAUUUUAUUUUCCAACAUGCUAAGUUUUUUUUUCUUUAGUUUAUAU